GUGACCACCCCAAGCUCCAGCUGCAGAGCGGCGGCUUCCACCCCCUCUGGAGAAGGGCUGCAGAUUGAUUGAUUUAGGCUUUGAGAAAUGUGCUGAGUUCUUGGGUUGGUUGACUACCGACUGCCAAGAAACCAGCACACCUAGAGGCGGGGCGCUAAGGUUUUGGUUCCCUUGAAUCGACCCUACCAGCAGCCUGUGGAAGCAGGUCUUAGGGAUGGCUAGUGAUGGCUGAGACAAAGAGGAAAAGCUGCUCAUUGCGGCUACACAGAGAAUCCGGCGUUCUUGUGAAAUGAGCAAAAGAUGAAGUGCCGAAACAAAGGAUGCGCCUCCAUAGCCCUGGGGACACCUGGGGAGCCAGCCCUUCUGCAUCAAAAGACGGCGUUAGGUCCUCCUCUGUGCAAUGGGGAGCCUCCGGAGCAGGAAAUGGCAAACGAAGUCACAGACGCCACCUUGUCAUCCUCCACCCUUUACAGAAUCGAGAAGGGAAAGCAGCCUGAGGAGGUGGCAGCAGUGGGGAUGAUCUCCGGCUUCCUGCCUUCCCACCCUGGGGUGAGUGACCAGUGUUCCCUCUCUCCUUUCUUGACCCUAGAUGGCUUUCUUUCCCUCUCAUGGGUGGCAGCUUGACUGAGGCCUCUCUGGCCUGAACCUCAGUGGUGGGCUCCUGGAGGGGGAGCUUUUUCCCCAAGCCCUCCUGUGAGGAUCCCCCCACAAUAACCACAGACUCCCAGGAUCCAACUGGUCUGGACUCAGGGCAGGAGACUAGGCCAGAGGGUUGCUGAGGAUCCCAUUGGUGGUGGGGGUGGCCCUGGAGGGCUGGUGGGGGCCAGGCAGGGCCUGACAGACCUCCCAGAGCCAGAAAGGUGUAAAGCAGUGAUGGCAAACUUUUUAGAGAUGGAGUGCCGGGCAUGCCCCCUUACCCCACCUAGGGGAGGGAGGAAGCACUCCCAUUGGCUGCUGGGUGGAGAGGAGUGGCCUGAGUGCUCUGCUCCCCUCCAGUUUAUUGCUGAGUUAAAUCAGUUUUCAGAGUGUUCAGUUGUCUGGAGUACAGGUCUUUAUUUAUUCCUUAUCUUAAAAUUAAAUGAAAAUUUUCAUUUUAUACACAUAUAUUGACCAGUUACAUGUAAUAACAC
This 1130-nucleotide long non-coding RNA is filed under the name Monodelphis domestica (gray short-tailed opossum). Its description in RNAcentral is "lncRNA (ENSMODG00000047626.1)". The record is from RNAcentral. Lineage: Eukaryota; Metazoa; Chordata; Mammalia; Didelphimorphia; Didelphidae.